UGUGAUUUCUGCUCAGUGCUCAGAAUGUCAAUAUGAAGAGAUUUUAACCCAAAGCGCGGGGUAAACAGCGGGAGUACUAUGACUCUCUUAAGGUAGCCCAAAUGCCUCGUCGUCCAAUUAGCGACGCGCAUGAAUGGAUUAAUGAGAUUCCCACUGUCCCUAAUUACUAUCUAGCGAAACCACAGCCAAGGGAACGGGGCUUGGCAAAAAUUAGCGGGGAAAGAAGACCCUGUUGAGCUUGACUUUUAUUCAGAAUUUGUGAAAUGGUGCUCGAGGUAUAGAAUAGGUGGGAGUGUAACGAAAUUGAAAUACCACUACUUUUGACGUUGUUUUACUUAUUAAAUAAAAAACUAAAAGAUUAAUAAUCUUGAUUCUAGAAUUAACGAAUAUUACAUGUUGACUCCAUGUGGGUUAACCUCUGAUUUGGGAAGUUUGUUUUAAGACAUUUUCUGGUGGGGGAGUUUGGCUGGG
This 471-nucleotide ribosomal RNA is filed under the name uncultured eukaryote. Its description in RNAcentral is "eukaryotic LSU rRNA". It matches the Rfam family "Eukaryotic large subunit ribosomal RNA", at positions 2190 to 2629 of the family's 3401-position model. The record is from RNAcentral.